This 88-nucleotide ribosomal RNA is filed under the name Escherichia coli. The record is from RNAcentral. RNAcentral also lists the same sequence under 1 other name. Lineage: Bacteria; Pseudomonadati; Pseudomonadota; Gammaproteobacteria; Enterobacterales; Enterobacteriaceae.
CUGACCCCAUGCCGAACUCAGAAGUGAAACGCCGUAGCGCCGAUGGUAGUGUGGGGUUUCCCCAUGCGAGAGUAGGGAACUGCCAGGC